Cygnus olor (mute swan) is the source of this 2538-nucleotide long non-coding RNA. RefSeq lists it as uncharacterized. The record is from RefSeq and is a predicted model, not a curated record. The transcript is spliced from 3 exons. Lineage: Eukaryota; Metazoa; Chordata; Aves; Anseriformes; Anatidae.
CAUCAUGAUAGAGCACACCAUCAUGGCCAACCCGAGGAGUAUGGCUCGGUCUUCUCCGGCUUUUAGGGCUGUGACUGUUUUCCUUUUGUCCAGUAGAUCGUGAUCCCUGAUUUUUUGGUAAAUAUUUCUGAGGCUGGUCAAAAUCUCCUGUGUUUUCUGUUACGGUUCUUUUGAAUCAUCCAGGCAGCACCCGAAGCAUGUGAACCGCACGCCUCUGAGCCCUGGCACCACCAUAACAUGGACAUAGAGGUACACGUGGAAGAGAGUUCCUCUUCUACUGUCUGCAAAAUGGCAGAGCUAUGGCAACAUGCGAUCUCCCUGGAGCUCUUACACAAAUCUCCAUGGUGGUUGUGGAAGGAUUCCUACCGGUAAGAAAGAUUUCACUCACUUAAUUCCCCUUCCUUGUCCCCACCAAACCAGACCAAACCGAACCACACCAAAGCAGUGCUCUGGUUUUCCAGUCCUACAGUGCUGUGGAAAGCAUAAUGGACAGCAGAGAAAGAAUGAGGGCUUGGUUAGGUUUCCAAAGCCUAGAAAGUGGCAGAUGGGGAACAGCAGAUUUCUAAAACAGAGCAACGAAUAUAACUUUUGGCCUUGUCCUACAGAAGCAGAUGCUGGUGAGACACCUCCCACUCAGGAGGAGACGAUUCCCCCGCCGCAAGGACCCAUUGCUGCAGCAGGCUAUUAUUAAUGUUUGCUGCUACGGAAGUUUGCUGCCCCAGCUGACAAUCUUCCCAUCUGAAGCUUAAAGAGCACAGAAUUCCUAGGAAAGGAUUGCUUAGGGGAUGUUUAUUUGUCUAAAAUGCAUGCCUGUUUGGUACAGCGAUGCUGUCGGUUGACCUUACAUGUGUUAAAAUUGCUGCCAGACACUAGCAAAGGAGUCCUACCUCCGUCAAGCAACCUUGCUUCCACAUUCAGACCUCUCUUCUCUGCAGAGCCCUGAGGCGACGGUCAUCACUCUCCUAUUCCACAUUGUCCGCUUUCUCCCCUUCCCUCCUUCCAUUUUAUCUAUCACUCACAGGGUAUGGACAGUCCCCUCCUGAAUGGCUUGACAAGGCCACCUGAAAUUGGCCAAGGCCAGCCGUGUAGGUACAGGGGUGCUGCUCCACCUCUGCAGGCAGUGCGGGGUUGAGGCUCUGCCCAGGGUCCUGAGCAACCAUGAUGCUGGCACAGCACCAUGCCUCUAGCACAGCGCUCAGCAGCCAAGUCAACAAGCCCUGCUGGAAGGCAUGCUAGGAGCUGAAGGCUGUGCUAAUCAGGAGAACGUGCUCCUGGCCAGCCCAUCCUGUGGGCAGAUAUCUCCUGCAAGUGCCUAGCCUUGGACCAUCCCAUCCAUGUCUGUUGUAUUCACACAGAAGAACAUUAGCCUGGGGAAAAUGCAGUUGCAGAGGAGACCUGCAGAAAUGCAAGAGGCAGUUAGAGAGCCAGCUACAACCGAAAGUCCAUGGAAACCUACUGCCAAGCCCAGGUCCUCCAGAUAUCUCUUUGGGAUCAGAGUAUCAACGCUGAGCACUAUGUGGCCUUGCAGCAGAGUUCAGCAAAUUGGCUAAUUCUCCAAAGGAAACCCUGCAUCCUGAGGGCAGCUCUGGUGCCUGAACUCACCAGCCCAUUUUCCAGCAGAUGCCAGCAGUAAUAUCUCAUUAGAAAAACUGAGGAGUGUGUUUUGCUAAUUGGCACUGUAGAUGCACCUGACCUCUGCUUUUGUUUCACUGGAGUCUGAUUUUUUGUGAUUGCUUUUAGCAGUGACUGCAAGGAGAAUUGAAGGAGAGGAGGCAAGGGAGAAGGGGGAAAGAAAAGAAAGGGAAAUGCGUCCAGUUGUGACAAGACAAGCUGUCCAGCAAAUCUUACUACAAAGGAGAGAGAUUUUGGAAGGAUGAGUCUGAGCAUUACUGACAAUUGUUCUUUCAUCAGUGAUAUUUAACUUCCUUCAUUCCCAACUGAGUGUUGCUUUGUCUGAAGACUUAAAACCUCUCCUUCCCUUUCCUCUCUUCUGUGCGAUUCUCUGCCCCCAGGAGACCCAGUAAUUCGUUUAUUCCUCUGUCUUGUCAGCCUAUUUCAUCCAGCAACACCACUGAAGUGGGCUGGCACUCUCCCAGUAGCCAGCUCCCUUUCCACCUGCUUGUCAUCACCCAUCUGUUGUGCAGUGCCUUGCACACAUGCUCGCCCUCACGUGUGUGCACAGGAACAGGAAACAUCUCCGAGAGCUGGAUGCAUCGCCCAGAUGUGGAACAGACACGGCUCAGGGAGGGGGCUGUGAGUGGCGGCAGGAGGGGGAUGUGCACUCUGUGGGCUCCUGGCUGGAAGCGGGACACCUGCGAAAGGCAUAGAGUUGUGGCUGCAAACUGUGCCUGGGGAUUGGUGUGCCAUAAAAUGUGCAAUGUGUGUGUGCCGGCCUCAGAGAUGGACCUCAGAGAGGAGCUGGGGGGAGCAAGGGAUAAGAGGAUGCACCCUUUGCAUCCCUCCUCCCUCCCCCUGCCACCACCGAAGAGCAGUGACAGGUCGCACUCCUAGAGAUUCAAAACCCAUCAGAGACAACCA